UCCCCCGGUGGUCUCAUAGGUAAAGCCAGUGUGGUCCCGCCAGGCUCCAGUGAGUGUGGUGUCCUGCAGCUACUUUCCAAAGGCAGGGGCUCCUGAGCAAAUCCACCUCAAUGAAUUCCUGGAUUUUUGGAUGGUGAGACAGAUGGAAAGAGACAGCAUGUAUGAUGUGAUGCCCCUGGCAUUAGCAUGAUAACAUGACUGCCAGAGAGAACACUGGGACAUGUAACAGCAAGCAGGGAUGAGCCCACUUUCCACGAUGUGUGAGCUUCAGUGUCACUGCUGUGAGGGGUGUGAUCAGCUGGGGAAGAGGCAAGACGUCAUUGCACAGCCUCCAGUGAACUGAGUGG
Long non-coding RNA from Myotis brandtii (Brandt's bat), 347 nucleotides. RefSeq lists it as uncharacterized. NCBI's taxonomy places the organism in Eukaryota, Metazoa, Chordata, Mammalia, Chiroptera, Vespertilionidae. The transcript is spliced from 3 exons. The record is from RefSeq and is a predicted model, not a curated record.